UGAGGAAGGGGAAUUCGGAAAAAUCUCUUCAGAGAUGAUAGUUUAGAGUUCCAAAGCAGUUCCAGUAUCUAGACUUGAUUGGAGAAAUCAUUGCUUCCACACUUGGUGCACCGCAUCAACCUGUCGAGUGCCCUGAGUUUUACUCAACAAUCCAAAAGAAAAGUCCUUAAAACAGAAAAAGGCUGCAACUCACUAAAUCUGAGGACUUGGUGCACCGCAUCAACCUGUCGAGUGCCCUGAGUUUUACUCAACAAUCCAAAAGAAAAGUCCUUAAAACGGAAAAAGGCUGCAACUCACUAAAUCUGAG
RNAcentral lists this long non-coding RNA (307 nucleotides) under Ananas comosus (pineapple). RNAcentral's name for it is "long non-coding RNA (ACOM_LNC019334)". The record is from RNAcentral. Lineage: Eukaryota; Viridiplantae; Streptophyta; Magnoliopsida; Poales; Bromeliaceae.